RNAcentral lists this ribosomal RNA (309 nucleotides) under uncultured bacterium. RNAcentral describes it as "bacterial SSU rRNA". It matches the Rfam family "Bacterial small subunit ribosomal RNA", at positions 30 to 337 of the family's 1533-position model. The record is from RNAcentral.
AUUGAACGCUGGCGGCAUGCCUUACACAUGCAAGUCGAACGGCAGCGGGCCUUCGGGUGCCGGCGAGUGGCGAACGGGUGAGUAAUGCAUCGGGAACGUGCCAUUGAGUGGGGGGAUAACGUAGCGAAAGUUGCGCUAAUACCGCAUAUUCUGUGAGCAGGAAAGCAGGGGACCGCAAGGCCUUGCGCUCUUUUGAGCGGCCGAUGUCAGAUUAGCUAGUUGGUGAGGUAAAGGCUUACCAAGGCGACGAUCUGUAGCGGGUCUGAGAGGGAUGAUCCACCACACUGGAACUGAGACACGGUCCAGACU